Molecule: ribosomal RNA, 594 nt
Filed under: Epicoccum nigrum
Lineage: Eukaryota; Fungi; Ascomycota; Dothideomycetes; Pleosporales; Didymellaceae
Description: LSU rRNA
Rfam family: Eukaryotic large subunit ribosomal RNA
Source: RNAcentral
UAGUAACGGCGAGUGAAGCGGCAACAGCUCAAAUUUGAAAUCUGGCGUCUUUGGCGUCCGAGUUGUAAUUUGCAGAGGGCGCUUUGGCAUUGGCAGCGGUCCAAGUUCCUUGGAACAGGACGUCACAGAGGGUGAGAAUCCCGUACGUGGUCGCUAGCCUUUACCGUGUAAAGCCCCUUCGACGAGUCGAGUUGUUUGGGAAUGCAGCUCUAAAUGGGAGGUAAAUUUCUUCUAAAGCUAAAUACUGGCCAGAGACCGAUAGCGCACAAGUAGAGUGAUCGAAAGAUGAAAAGCACUUUGGAAAGAGAGUUAAAAAGCACGUGAAAUUGUUGAAAGGGAAGCGCUUGCAGCCAGACUUGCCUGUAGUUGCUCAUCCGGGUUUUUACCCGGUGCACUCUUCUACGGGCAGGCCAGCAUCAGUUUGGGCGGUUGGAUAAAGGUCUCUGUCACGUACCUCCUCUCGGGGAGAUCUUAUAGGGGAGACGACAUGCAACCAGCCUGGACUGAGGUCCGCGCAUCUGCUAGGAUGCUGGCGUAAUGGCUGUAAGCGGCCCGUCUUGAAACACGGACCAAGGAGUCUAACAUCUAUGCGAG